UGUAUUUAGUUUGCUGAUAUAGUACAAAAAAGUUAUACAAGUUUGAAAAAAAUUCGAAAAAAAAAUUUCAAAAAAAUUCGAAAAAAAAUUCAAAAAAAAUUCAAAAAAAGUGAUUUAUGCAAUUAAAUUGUUAUUUGAUCGUCAAGCUUUGAUCUGAUAUAGUUUCCCGAUCCAUCUUCUGUUCUAAACCCCCUAAUCAUAUGCACGCCACACUUUC
RNAcentral lists this long non-coding RNA (217 nucleotides) under Gossypium barbadense (sea-island cotton). Its description in RNAcentral is "long non-coding RNA (GBAR_LNC000616)". The record is from RNAcentral. Lineage: Eukaryota; Viridiplantae; Streptophyta; Magnoliopsida; Malvales; Malvaceae.